Triticum aestivum (bread wheat) is the source of this 977-nucleotide long non-coding RNA. RefSeq lists it as uncharacterized. NCBI's taxonomy places the organism in Eukaryota, Viridiplantae, Streptophyta, Magnoliopsida, Poales, Poaceae. The transcript is spliced from 2 exons. The record is from RefSeq and is a predicted model, not a curated record.
CCAACCCGAGUCUGCUCGCUUGGCCCAUCCUACCGCUCGGCCACACGAGACAAAGCCGCGCAGGAGGCCUUAGGCGCUGUUCCUUUCCCGGCGAUCGCCGGCGACGGCCCGUCCCGACCUGACCCGGGCAGCGCGGCUGUGUGUCCUUGGCGUGGAAGAUCGUAGGGACAGAGCGGCCGAGCGGGGCUGGUUCGGAGCUGGAUUCGCGCGCUCGUCUGAACUCAGCGCCUGCAUUCGCGCACCAUCCACUCGUCGGCUCCAACAACUGCUUCCGAUCGAGGCGACCCACGCCCGUGGAAUCCUCUCCAGCCAAAAUGGCUCCAGGCUCGGAUGCUCCACAGUAACCACGCUACUCGCGACGGCGGCCUGCUCAGCUCAGCUCAGUUGACUGCAUCUGCAUUCGGGGUCGGGCGCCCUGCAGGUGUUCGGUGAAUUGCCACGCUAGGGAGGUUGCGCCGUUAAGAGUUGGGUCACGGAUCCAGGACUGCCGACUGGCGAAUGGUUUCGUGGUGAUUAUAUAACGACGACUUGACUCGGCGCGUGGGCGUCGUCGGGACGAAGGUGCCUAGCCUGAGCCUCUGCGGACCGACGUACGUCAGCGGUCAUCGGAGAACGAAAGUGAAGCAAGGAACCAAGUCUUCCCCGGUCAAUAAACUAAGCUAUUCUAGCCUUGCUUUUUAAGAUGAAGCCGAUCGGAAACAUCGUGAGGAGCACGCGUCUUCGUGUAGAUCAUCGUUGGACUUGGAGACAUGCUGUUCGGCCCGGUCAUGAUUCUCUUCUGUUGUCUUUACUACUACGACAGCCUUCCUUCCGUCCUAGGUGUUACUUGGAUAUUUUCUCCGUACGUGUGUUCUUUGGAUCCUCCAUCUCCUUUCUCCUUAUUAUAGGUAUAUAUAUAUAUAUAUACAAACCAGGUCUUUUUUUCUUAAUCAUUGUGAUGCAGAAUGGCGAAUGCCAUGGCAGCGACAGGUGAAAAA